RNAcentral lists this ribosomal RNA (270 nucleotides) under Cancer borealis (Jonah crab). RNAcentral's name for it is "partial large subunit ribosomal RNA". The record is from RNAcentral. Lineage: Eukaryota; Metazoa; Arthropoda; Malacostraca; Decapoda; Cancridae.
CGUGAGGGAAAGUUGAAAAGAACUUUGAAGAGAGAGUUCAAGAGUACGUGAAACCGUUAAGAGCCAAACGGGUGGGACCUCGAAGGUCGAACCGAGGGGAUUCAGCUCGUCGGCCAAAGCCGGCUGGACGUUGGGAUUCGCUUAUGCGACCCAGGAACUCUUGGGCGUGCCCACGUUCAAGCCGGCGCCGGCGGGCGUAUUUCCCCUCGUGAUGUAGGUCGCCGCGACCCGUUGCUGGGGACGUCUAAGGCCCGGGCGGACUGGUACCCC